Non-coding RNA from Pteropus alecto (black flying fox), 74 nucleotides. Lineage: Eukaryota; Metazoa; Chordata; Mammalia; Chiroptera; Pteropodidae. The record is from Rfam.
GGUUCCGCAGUGUAGUGGUUAGUACAUCUGCUUUACAUGCAGAAGGUCUUGAGUUUGCGCCCCAGGUGGAGCCA